Molecule: ribosomal RNA, 354 nt
Filed under: uncultured Racocetraceae
Lineage: Eukaryota; Fungi; Glomeromycota; Glomeromycetes; Diversisporales; Gigasporaceae
Description: SSU rRNA
Rfam family: Eukaryotic small subunit ribosomal RNA
Source: RNAcentral
AGCAGCCGCGGUAAUUCCAGCUCCAAUAGCGUAUAUUAAAGUUGUUGCAGUUAAAAAGCUCGUAGUUGAAUUUCGGGGUUCUACCGUUGGUCGGGCUUUGUCUGUACUGGCGUGUAGAAUUUCUACCUUCUGGGGAACCGUCAUGUUAUUAAUUUAACGUGGUGGGAAACCAGGACCUUUACCUUGAAAAAAUUAGAGUGUUCAAAGCAGGCUUAUGUCUGAAUACAUUAGCAUGGAAUAAUAAAAUAGGACGUGUGGUUCUAUUUUGUUGGUUUCUGGAACCGCCGUAAUGAUUAAUAGGGACAGUCGGGGGCAUCAGUAUUCAAUUGUCAGAGGUGAAAUUCUUGGAUUUAG